This is a long non-coding RNA of Prosopis cineraria, 630 nucleotides long. RefSeq lists it as uncharacterized. NCBI's taxonomy places the organism in Eukaryota, Viridiplantae, Streptophyta, Magnoliopsida, Fabales, Fabaceae. The record is from RefSeq and is a predicted model, not a curated record. The transcript is spliced from 2 exons.
AAGCUGACCGAGAACUCCCCAAUCUUAGCAUUCAUAUCCUUGUCUAAUAGAACACCGCAGAUACAGAAUUUCAUGGCUAUAUUCUUUAAGACUUAAGUCCUCUCUUUCCAACUCAAGAUAUUUAUCUCUUCGUCACAUUUGAAGUUUCGUCCAAAUGUCCGUUCUCCAUGUAAUCACAAACAAGCAUCAAGUGUCCUUUUUCUCUAUUGCACUGACCUAAUCGAACGAGGUUUCUGUGUUUUAUCCUUCCUGCGCUGGAGACUUCGACUGAUCAAAUCUUCUCCUUCACGAUACGCAGCAUCAUGUGAAGCUAAUGAGCCCAAAAUACUCUGAUGGAUUUGUGCUGUUAGCGCUCUUGACAGCGAAAACAAGGAAGAAAGGCCAUUAUUGGUAAGAGCAUAUUUAACUAGGGAAAUUGAGAAAAUGUAGGAGGUGGCGAACCGAAGGUGGAACGAUUAGGCUGUUCUGUAGGUAAUUGAGAAUAUCGGACCGUUUAAUUAUUUCAGCAUUUAAUGUCUAUAAUAUUUAUUUAUCUCAUCCAAGAUUGAGGCGUAAUUCAUUUGUGCUUGAGCGUUUACUUACCCGAUUCUUUAACAACUUUGAACUGCAAAUGAAGUUUGUUUGCCCUGU